This 16-nucleotide ribosomal RNA is filed under the name Ganoderma sp. 1 TRK-2010. RNAcentral's name for it is "partial 26S ribosomal RNA". The record is from RNAcentral. Lineage: Eukaryota; Fungi; Basidiomycota; Agaricomycetes; Polyporales; Polyporaceae.
CUGAGAUUAAACAUAU